CCUGCGGGUGGCUGCAGUGGGGAAUAUUGGACAAUGGGCGAAAGCCUGAUCCAGCCAUGCCGCGUGUGUGAAGAAGGCCUUCGGGUUGUAAAGCACUUUCAGUGGGGAAGAAAGCCUUGGGGCUAAUACCCUCGAGGAAGGACAUCACCCACAGAAGAAGCACCGGCUAACUCCGUGCCAGCAGCCGCGGUAAUACGGAGGGUGCGAGCGUUAAUCGGAAUUACUGGGCGUAAAGCGCGCGUAGGCGGUCUGAUAAGCCGGUUGUGAAAGCCCCGGGCUCAACCUGGGAACGGCAUCCGGAACUGUCAGGCUAGAGUGCAGGAGAGGAAGGUAGAAUUCCCGGUGUAGCGGUGAAAUGCGUAGAGAUCGGGAGGAAUACCAGUGGCGAAGGCGGUCUUCUGGACUGACACUGACGCUGAGGUGCGAAAGCGUGGGUAGCAAACAGGAUUAGAUACCCUAGUAGUC
RNAcentral lists this ribosomal RNA (465 nucleotides) under Vreelandella stevensii. RNAcentral describes it as "partial 16S ribosomal RNA". It matches the Rfam family "Bacterial small subunit ribosomal RNA", at positions 338 to 795 of the family's 1533-position model. Lineage: Bacteria; Pseudomonadati; Pseudomonadota; Gammaproteobacteria; Oceanospirillales; Halomonadaceae. The record is from RNAcentral.